AACGCUGGCGGCGUGCUUAACACAUGCAGGUCGAACGAUGAAAGUCGUUUUGAUAUCUUCGGAUUGAUAAACUUCUGGAUUAGUGGCGGACGGGUGAGUAACGCGUGAGCAAUCUGCCUUACACAAAGGGAUAGCCUCGGGAAACCGGGAUUAAUACCGUAUAAGACUCCGACAUCUCAUGAUGAUGAAGUCAAAGCGUUAGCGGUAAGAGAUGGUCUUGCGUCUGAUUAGCUAGUUGGUGGGGUAACGGCCUACCAAGGCAACGAUCAGUAGCCGGCUGGAGAGAGUGUACGGCCACAUUGGGACUGAGACACGGCCCAGACUCCUACGGGAGGCAGCAGUGGGGAAUUUUGCACAAUGGGGGAAACCCUGAUGCAGCGACGCCGCGUGAUUUAGAAGG
This 400-nucleotide ribosomal RNA is filed under the name uncultured Eubacteriales bacterium. RNAcentral describes it as "bacterial SSU rRNA". It matches the Rfam family "Bacterial small subunit ribosomal RNA", at positions 32 to 413 of the family's 1533-position model. The record is from RNAcentral. Lineage: Bacteria; Bacillati; Bacillota; Clostridia; Eubacteriales.